This 2905-nucleotide ribosomal RNA is filed under the name Escherichia coli. RNAcentral describes it as "23S ribosomal RNA". It matches the Rfam family "Bacterial large subunit ribosomal RNA". Lineage: Bacteria; Pseudomonadati; Pseudomonadota; Gammaproteobacteria; Enterobacterales; Enterobacteriaceae. The record is from RNAcentral.
GGUUAAGCGACUAAGCGUACACGGUGGAUGCCCUGGCAGUCAGAGGCGAUGAAGGACGUGCUAAUCUGCGAUAAGCGUCGGUAAGGUGAUAUGAACCGUUAUAACCGGCGAUUUCCGAAUGGGGAAACCCAGUGUGUUUCGACACACUAUCAUUAACUGAAUCCAUAGGUUAAUGAGGCGAACCGGGGGAACUGAAACAUCUAAGUACCCCGAGGAAAAGAAAUCAACCGAGAUUCCCCCAGUAGCGGCGAGCGAACGGGGAGCAGCCCAGAGCCUGAAUCAGUGUGUGUGUUAGUGGAAGCGUCUGGAAAGGCGCGCGAUACAGGGUGACAGCCCCGUACACAAAAAUGCACAUGCUGUGAGCUCGAUGAGUAGGGCGGGACACGUGGUAUCCUGUCUGAAUAUGGGGGGACCAUCCUCCAAGGCUAAAUACUCCUGACUGACCGAUAGUGAACCAGUACCGUGAGGGAAAGGCGAAAAGAACCCCGGCGAGGGGAGUGAAAAAGAACCUGAAACCGUGUACGUACAAGCAGUGGGAGCACGCUUAGGCGUGUGACUGCGUACCUUUUGUAUAAUGGGUCAGCGACUUAUAUUCUGUAGCAAGGUUAACCGAAUAGGGGAGCCGAAGGGAAACCGAGUCUUAACUGGGCGUUAAGUUGCAGGGUAUAGACCCGAAACCCGGUGAUCUAGCCAUGGGCAGGUUGAAGGUUGGGUAACACUAACUGGAGGACCGAACCGACUAAUGUUGAAAAAUUAGCGGAUGACUUGUGGCUGGGGGUGAAAGGCCAAUCAAACCGGGAGAUAGCUGGUUCUCCCCGAAAGCUAUUUAGGUAGCGCCUCGUGAAUUCAUCUCCGGGGGUAGAGCACUGUUUCGGCAAGGGGGUCAUCCCGACUUACCAACCCGAUGCAAACUGCGAAUACCGGAGAAUGUUAUCACGGGAGACACACGGCGGGUGCUAACGUCCGUCGUGAAGAGGGAAACAACCCAGACCGCCAGCUAAGGUCCCAAAGUCAUGGUUAAGUGGGAAACGAUGUGGGAAGGCCCAGACAGCCAGGAUGUUGGCUUAGAAGCAGCCAUCAUUUAAAGAAAGCGUAAUAGCUCACUGGUCGAGUCGGCCUGCGCGGAAGAUGUAACGGGGCUAAACCAUGCACCGAAGCUGCGGCAGCGACGCUUAUGCGUUGUUGGGUAGGGGAGCGUUCUGUAAGCCUGUGAAGGUGUGCUGUGAGGCAUGCUGGAGGUAUCAGAAGUGCGAAUGCUGACAUAAGUAACGAUAAAGCGGGUGAAAAGCCCGCUCGCCGGAAGACCAAGGGUUCCUGUCCAACGUUAAUCGGGGCAGGGUGAGUCGACCCCUAAGGCGAGGCCGAAAGGCGUAGUCGAUGGGAAACAGGUUAAUAUUCCUGUACUUGGUGUUACUGCGAAGGGGGGACGGAGAAGGCUAUGUUGGCCGGGCGACGGUUGUCCCGGUUUAAGCGUGUAGGCUGGUUUUCCAGGCAAAUCCGGAAAAUCAAGGCUGAGGCGUGAUGACGAGGCACUACGGUGCUGAAGCAACAAAUGCCCUGCUUCCAGGAAAAGCCUCUAAGCAUCAGGUAACAUCAAAUCGUACCCCAAACCGACACAGGUGGUCAGGUAGAGAAUACCAAGGCGCUUGAGAGAACUCGGGUGAAGGAACUAGGCAAAAUGGUGCCGUAACUUCGGGAGAAGGCACGCUGAUAUGUAGGUGAAGUCCCUCGCGGAUGGAGCUGAAAUCAGUCGAAGAUACCAGCUGGCUGCAACUGUUUAUUAAAAACACAGCACUGUGCAAACACGAAAGUGGACGUAUACGGUGUGACGCCUGCCCGGUGCCGGAAGGUUAAUUGAUGGGGUUAGCCGCAAGGCGAAGCUCUUGAUCGAAGCCCCGGUAAACGGCGGCCGUAACUAUAACGGUCCUAAGGUAGCGAAAUUCCUUGUCGGGUAAGUUCCGACCUGCACGAAUGGCGUAAUGAUGGCCAGGCUGUCUCCACCCGAGACUCAGUGAAAUUGAACUCGCUGUGAAGAUGCAGUGUACCCGCGGCAAGACGGAAAGACCCCGUGAACCUUUACUAUAGCUUGACACUGAACAUUGAGCCUUGAUGUGUAGGAUAGGUGGGAGGCUUAGAAGUGUGGACGCCAGUCUGCAUGGAGCCGACCUUGAAAUACCACCCUUUAAUGUUUGAUGUUCUAACGUUGACCCGUAAUCCGGGUUGCGGACAGUGUCUGGUGGGUAGUUUGACUGGGGCGGUCUCCUCCUAAAGAGUAACGGAGGAGCACGAAGGUUGGCUAAUCCUGGUCGGACAUCAGGAGGUUAGUGCAAUGGCAUAAGCCAGCUUGACUGCGAGCGUGACGGCGCGAGCAGGUGCGAAAGCAGGUCAUAGUGAUCCGGUGGUUCUGAAUGGAAGGGCCAUCGCUCAACGGAUAAAAGGUACUCCGGGGAUAACAGGCUGAUACCGCCCAAGAGUUCAUAUCGACGGCGGUGUUUGGCACCUCGAUGUCGGCUCAUCACAUCCUGGGGCUGAAGUAGGUCCCAAGGGUAUGGCUGUUCGCCAUUUAAAGUGGUACGCGAGCUGGGUUUAGAACGUCGUGAGACAGUUCGGUCCCUAUCUGCCGUGGGCGCUGGAGAACUGAGGGGGCUGCUCCUAGUACGAGAGGACCGGAGUGGACGCAUCACUGGUGUUCGGGUUGUCAUGCCAAUGGCACUGCCCGGUAGCUAAAUGCGGAAGAGAUAAGUGCUGAAAGCAUCUAAGCACGAAACUUGCCCCGAGAUGAGUUCUCCCUGACUCCUUGAGAGUCCUGAAGGAACGUUGAAGACGACGACGUUGAUAGGCCGGGUGUGUAAGCGCAGCGAUGCGUUGAGCUAACCGGUACUAAUGAACCGUGAGGCUUAACCUU